CCUACGGGAGGCAGCAGUGGGGAAUUUUGGACAAUGGGCGAAAGCCUGAUCCAGCAAUGCCGCGUGCAGGAAGAAGGCCUUCGGGUUGUAAACUGCUUUUGUACGGAACGAAAAGGUCUGCCCUAAUACGGCGGGCUCAUGACGGUACCGUAAGAAUAAGCACCGGCUAACUACGUGCCAGCAGCCGCGGUAAUACGUAGGGUGCGAGCGUUAAUCGGAAUUACUGGGCGUAAAGCGUGCGCAGGCGGUUAUAUAAGACAGUUGUGAAAUCCCCGGGCUCAACCUGGGAAUUGCAUCUGUGACUGUAUAGCUAGAGUACGGUAGAGGGGGAUGGAAUUCCGCGUGUAGCAGUGAAAUGCGUAGAUAUGCGGAGGAACACCGAUGGCGAAGGCAAUCCCCUGGACCUGUACUGACGCUCAUGCACGAAAGCGUGAGGAGCAAACAGGAUUAGAUACCCUGGUAGUCCACGCCCUAAACGAUGUCAACUGGUUGUUGGGUGCAUUAGUACUCAGUAACGAAGCUAACGCGUGAAGCUGACCGCCUGGGGAGUACGGCCGCAAGGUUGAAACUCAAAUGAAUUGACGG
RNAcentral lists this ribosomal RNA (585 nucleotides) under uncultured bacterium. Its description in RNAcentral is "bacterial SSU rRNA". It matches the Rfam family "Bacterial small subunit ribosomal RNA", at positions 338 to 916 of the family's 1533-position model. The record is from RNAcentral.